UACGGAGGGUGCAAGCGUUAUCCGGAUUCACUGGGUUUAAAGGGUGCGUAGGUGGGCUAGUAAGUCCGUGGUGAAAUCUCCAAGCUUAACUUGGAAACUGCCGUGGAUACUAUUAGUCUUGAAUACUGUGGAGGUCAGCGGAAUAUGUCAUGUAGCGGUGAAAUGCUUAGAUAUGACAUAGAACACCAAUUGCGAAGGCAGCUGGCUACACAAAUAUUGACACUGAGGCACGAAAGCGUGGGGAUCAAACAGG
RNAcentral lists this ribosomal RNA (253 nucleotides) under uncultured bacterium. RNAcentral describes it as "partial 16S ribosomal RNA". It matches the Rfam family "Bacterial small subunit ribosomal RNA", at positions 524 to 776 of the family's 1533-position model. The record is from RNAcentral.